AAUAACCAUAGGAUGGAUACACAUCAUAUGAUGAAGAAAGAAUUUUCUGCUGAGAGUUAAGUUCAGCUUUACAUAAAAUUCUGCAUUGAGGCCUAGAGCACUAUCAGCCACGUGAUAUUAUCGGGCGCUCUCUAAUAUGGAAUCUGCAAGUCAGCAAGUCUGCCACCCACCUCCUUAUUGUUCUGAGAUUCCUGUGCUCCUAUCAAGCCCGGCUUCUGACUCUAAGGAUACAUCUCUUCCCUUCACUGUCCCUAUGUAGAUCAUGUCCAUAAGACUGAGCAUCACUUUGGCCUUCCCUUCAAGUAUAAUUAAUAAUUUUAUUAUUAUCCAAAAGAUUAGUUCAAGUGUAGACUUGCCCCUGUGCCCUAGUACAGGCACUAACCACCUCCAAGCCAAAGAAAAUUAUCCAGGACAAAGCCUACCUGCCUGAUAGAAAUUCCCAAGAACAAAACUUAGCCCUCUAAAGCUCCCGCCACCAAUUCCCUGUAGGGGAAUCUAUGUAAUGCUGAGGGUCAUACAGAGAUCCUUAUUCCCCAAUAGUGCAUACGGAAGGAACACAUAGACGUGAAAAGCACUGAUAUCAUACUUUUAAAGAUGACUGUGUGAAGUAAAAUUGGAAUCUAGUCCACAGUGCAAGUCUUUUUGUUGCCUCUCUCAGUAAUAAGUUGUAACACUGUGAGGCGGCAUUUUAUCCCUGUGGGCCUCUUUCCUUUUAGCAAAAUGAGAAGUUUGGACUAGAUAAUAUUAAUGGUUUCCAUUAGACAUACUAUUCCUCAAUAAUUUUAUAUAGGUUGAAAACUUACAAAACAGAUAUAUCACACGAAACUUGUUCCCAUUAUUUAACAACUGUUUAGUAAGCAAAAUACCAACAAGACUAGUAUGUUGAUGAAAAAAUAAAAGUUAAAAAAAAAAAAAAGAAAAGUUUUGGGAUCACAUAAA
This is a long non-coding RNA of Suricata suricatta (meerkat), 939 nucleotides long. RefSeq lists it as uncharacterized. The transcript has 2 exons. The record is from RefSeq and is a predicted model, not a curated record. Lineage: Eukaryota; Metazoa; Chordata; Mammalia; Carnivora; Herpestidae.